Ixodes scapularis (black-legged tick) is the source of this 73-nucleotide non-coding RNA. The record is from Rfam. NCBI's taxonomy places the organism in Eukaryota, Metazoa, Arthropoda, Arachnida, Ixodida, Ixodidae.
ACCGGGUUAGCUCAGUUGGUAGAGCACUCCACUCGAAAUGGACGGGACCCUGCUUUGAUACCAGGACCACGCG